This 500-nucleotide ribosomal RNA is filed under the name uncultured bacterium. RNAcentral describes it as "partial 16S ribosomal RNA". It matches the Rfam family "Bacterial small subunit ribosomal RNA", at positions 30 to 523 of the family's 1533-position model. The record is from RNAcentral.
AUUGAACGCUGGCGGAAUGCUUUACACAUGCAAGUCGAACGGCAACACGGACUUCGGUCUGGUGGCGAGUGGCGAACGGGUGAGUAAUGUAACGGAACGUUCCCAGUCGUGGGGGAUAACGUAGUGAAAAUUACGCUAAUACCGCAUACGAUCCAUGGAUGAAAGCGGGGGAUCGCAAGACCUCGCGCGAUUGGAGCGGCCGAAGUCAGAUUAGGUAGUUGGUGGGGUAAAGGCCCACCAAGCCAACGAUCUGUAGCUGGUCUGAGAGGACGACCAGCCACACUGGAACUGAGACACGGUCCAGACUCCUACGGGAGGCAGCAGUGGGGAAUUUUGGACAAUGGGCGAAAGCCUGAUCCAGCCAUCCCGCGUGCAGGAUGAAGGCCCUCGGGUUGUAAACUGCUUUUGUACAGAACGAAAAGGUUUCUACUAAUACUAGGAGCUCAUGACGGUACUGUAAGAAUAAGCACCGGCUAACUACGUGCCAGCCGCCGCAGUAA